This 20-nucleotide small nuclear RNA is filed under the name Arabidopsis thaliana (thale cress). RNAcentral describes it as "snRNA_17471". Lineage: Eukaryota; Viridiplantae; Streptophyta; Magnoliopsida; Brassicales; Brassicaceae. The record is from RNAcentral.
CCUCGUUCGGUGAAAUUGUC